CUAUAGACGGAUUCCAGAGGAUGUGAUCAGCCGUCUAAUGACCAUUUUGGGCCACUUGAUGAAGAUUGCGACACUGAAGAAGUAUGUCGAGAUGGAACGCUAUGUCUUGGCUGAGACAAAGCCAAAAUGUUAAAGACAUGUAUUCGAAAUGAACUCCUCUUCUGAGAUGCAUGGCUUAGAAGUAGAUAUUUGUUGUAGAACUAUUUUCUUUAUCACCAACAACUGAAGCACUUUAACUUU
Salvia hispanica is the source of this 240-nucleotide non-coding RNA. NCBI's taxonomy places the organism in Eukaryota, Viridiplantae, Streptophyta, Magnoliopsida, Lamiales, Lamiaceae. The record is from RefSeq and is a predicted model, not a curated record.